GAUAAGUGCUGAAAGCAUCUAAGCACGAAACUUGCCCCGAGAUGAGUUCUCCCUGAGACUUUAAGUCUCCUGAAGGAACGUUAAAGACGAUGACGUUGAUAGGCCGGGUGUGUAAGCGCAGCGAUGCGUUGAGCUAACCGGUACUAAUGAACCGUGAGGCUUAACCUU
Molecule: ribosomal RNA, 168 nt
Filed under: Pseudomonas aeruginosa
Lineage: Bacteria; Pseudomonadati; Pseudomonadota; Gammaproteobacteria; Pseudomonadales; Pseudomonadaceae
Also listed under: 2 other names
Description: partial 23S ribosomal RNA
Rfam family: Bacterial large subunit ribosomal RNA
Source: RNAcentral